GCCCCGGUAGCUCAGUCGGAUAGAGCGUUCGCCUCCUAAGCGAAAGGCCGCAGGUUCGAUUCCUGCUCGGGGCACCA
This 77-nucleotide transfer RNA is filed under the name Candidatus Competibacteraceae bacterium. RNAcentral's name for it is "tRNA-Arg". It matches the Rfam family "tRNA". Rfam says of the family: Transfer RNA (tRNA) molecules are approximately 80 nucleotides in length. The record is from RNAcentral. Lineage: Bacteria; Pseudomonadati; Pseudomonadota; Gammaproteobacteria; Candidatus Competibacteraceae.